Dermochelys coriacea (leatherback sea turtle) is the source of this 336-nucleotide long non-coding RNA. RefSeq lists it as uncharacterized. The transcript is spliced from 2 exons. The record is from RefSeq and is a predicted model, not a curated record. NCBI's taxonomy places the organism in Eukaryota, Metazoa, Chordata, Testudines, Dermochelyidae.
CCUGUUAAAAUCAUGUUUCCCAGCUAGAAGCUUUGUAUUCAUUCCAUCCUUGUUGGUAAAAAAUAAAUAAAUAAAUAAAUAAAUAAAUAAAAUCUGUUUUUGCUAUUCUGGCGCCUUCUUGUGGCCUGUUACAUUAUCACAAGAACUUCAAAGUACAGCAAUUUCUAUAUUUUUUCAAUAACUUUUUUUUUCUUUUAAACUCACCCUCACAGCUUUACUAUGUGAAAAGUUAGACAUAGUGUAAUUAUAGCAAAUUGGAGAGUUUUCUAGAAGGUGGAAAUGUAACAAUGAGAUUAUAUACAAAGUGUAUCAAAUCAACAGAUGUGAAGAGCAGUA